UACAGAGGGGGCAAGCGUUGUUCGGAAUUACUGGGCUUAAAGGGCGCGUAGGCGGCCCGUUAAGUCGAACGUGAAAUCCCCGGGCUCAACCCGGGAACUGCGUCCGAUACUGGCAGGCUUGAAUCCGGGAGAGGGAUGCGGAAUUCCAGGUGUAGCGGUGAAAUGCGUAGAUAUCUGGAGGAACACCGGUGGCGAAGGCGGCAUCCUGGACCGGCAUUGACGCUGAGGCGCGAAAGCCAGGGGAGCAAACGGG
Molecule: ribosomal RNA, 253 nt
Filed under: uncultured bacterium
Lineage: Bacteria
Description: partial 16S ribosomal RNA
Rfam family: Bacterial small subunit ribosomal RNA
Source: RNAcentral